GAAAAAGGAGGAGGGAGGGAGCGAGCCGCCUCCCCGCCGGAGUGUCAGGCCGGGCUCUGAAGGGAGAAGCGAGGCCCGGUGUCCGCUCCCCCCUCCCCGUCGCUCUCUGGUUGUCUUUCCCGAUCUGGGCUCUCACCUGACCGGGUCCCGGGGGAAGCGGAAGAAGGCCAGCUCUUCAGGAAGGUAUUCACACGGACUGAAUGGAUAUUGAGACAGACCAAGGGCUCAGUCAUUAAAUAUGUUCUGCUCAUAGUGAGAGAAGAAAGCACGGCCAUUCUGAAACAUAUAAAUGAUGUGAAGCAAGAGUUGUUCAAGUGCAGUAGUUCUCCUUUGCUAUGGACAUCUCUGAUAGAGUUUUAAAGACACACAGAAUCUUGACAGAUAAAUGUGGGAUUUUGGAAGUUUAAGCUGAGGAAAUGAAGCAGGCUAAGUAAAUGUCUUUUCAAAGACAUUUGAACAAAAAUUUAUGACUUUUUUGGUUUUUUUUUAAUCAUUUGUUUUCUUUUGGAUGGGCUUAAAACUUUUCCAGCUUUU
This 534-nucleotide long non-coding RNA is filed under the name Gallus gallus (chicken). RNAcentral's name for it is "long non-coding RNA NONGGAT001419". The record is from RNAcentral. Lineage: Eukaryota; Metazoa; Chordata; Aves; Galliformes; Phasianidae.